This 371-nucleotide ribosomal RNA is filed under the name uncultured organism. RNAcentral describes it as "bacterial SSU rRNA". It matches the Rfam family "Bacterial small subunit ribosomal RNA", at positions 527 to 896 of the family's 1533-position model. The record is from RNAcentral.
CAGAGGGGCAAGCGUUGUUCGGAAUUACUGGGCGUAAAGGGCGCGUAGGCGGCCUGUUAAGUCGAACGUGAAAUCCCCGGGCUCAACCCGGGAACUGCGUCCGAUACUGGCAGGCUUGAAUCCGGGAGAGGGAUGUGGAAUUCCAGGUGUAGCGGUGAAAUGCGUAGAUAUCUGGAGGAACACCGGUGGCGAAGGCGGCAUCCUGGACCGGUAUUGACGCUGAGGCGCGAAAGCCAGGGGAGCAAACGGGAUUAGAUACCCCGGUAGUCCUGGCCCUAAACGAUGAAUGCUUGGUGUGGCGGGUAUCGAUCCCUGCCGUGCCGAAGCUAACGCAUUAAGCAUUCCGCCUGGGGAGUACGGUCGCAAGGCUG